ACGCGAAAAGGGGCAACCCUGAGUAGAGUGGCGUCCGGGUGAGUAACACGUGGAUAAUCUACCUACGAGUGGGGAAUAACUUUCCGAAAGGGGAGCUAAUACCGCAUAACAUCGUCUGGGGGCAGCCUUGGACGAUCAAAGUGGAGGACCGAAAGGCUUCACGCUUGUAGAGGAGUCCGCGGCUGAUUAGCUAGUUGGUGAGGUAAUGGCUCACCAAGGCAACGAUCAGUAGCCGGCCUGAGAGGGCGGUCGGCCACACUGGCACUGAAACACGGGCCAGACUCCUACGGGAGGCAGCAGUGGGGAAUUUUGGGCAAUGGGGGCAACCCUGACCCAGCAACGCCGCGUGAGGGAUGAAAUCCUUCGGGAUGUAAACCUCGCAAGUAAGGGAAGGAUAAACGUAGAUUAAUAAUCUAUGAUAUGACGGUACCUUACGUAAGCCCCGGCUAACUCCGUGCCAGCAGCCGCGGUAAUACGGGGGGGGCAAGCGUUG
Molecule: ribosomal RNA, 493 nt
Filed under: uncultured bacterium
Lineage: Bacteria
Description: bacterial SSU rRNA
Rfam family: Bacterial small subunit ribosomal RNA
Source: RNAcentral